AGUGAACGCUGGCGGUAGGCCUAACACAUGCAAGUCGAACGGCAGCACAGUAAGAGCUUGCUCUUACGGGUGGCGAGUGGCGGACGGGUGAGGAAUACAUCGGAAUCUACUUUUUCGUGGGGGAUAACGUAGGGAAACUUACGCUAAUACCGCAUACGACCUACGGGUGAAAGCAGGGGAACUUCGGACCUUGCGCGAUUGAAUGAGCCGAUGUCGGAUUAGCUAGUUGGCGGGGUAAAGGCCCACCAAGGCGACGAUCCGUAGCCGGUCUGAGAGGAGGGUCAGCCACAUGGGAGCUGAGACAGCGACCAGAGUCCUACGGGAGGGAGCAGUGGGGAAUGGUGGACAAUGGGCGCAAGCCUGAUCCAGUCAUACCGCGUGUGUGAAGAAGGCCUUCGGGUCGUAAAGCCCGUUUGUUGGGAAAGAAAAGCAGCAGGUUAAUACGCAGCUGUUGUGACGGUACCCAAAGAAGAAGCACCGGCUAACUUCGUG
Molecule: ribosomal RNA, 492 nt
Filed under: uncultured bacterium
Lineage: Bacteria
Description: partial 16S ribosomal RNA
Rfam family: Bacterial small subunit ribosomal RNA
Source: RNAcentral